AUUCAGUCAAACUCCGAAUGCCAAAUACUUAUUCUUGGGAGUCAGACUGCGAGUGAUAAGAUCCGUAGUCGAAAGGGAAACAGCCCAGACCACCAGCUAAGGUCCCAAAGUAUACGUUAAGUGGAAAAGGAUGUGGAGUUGCUUAGACAACCAGGAUGUUGGCUUAGAAGCAGCCACCAUUUAAAGAGUGCGUAAUAGCUCACUGGUCGAGUGACUCCGCGCCGAAAAUGUACCGGGGCUAAACGUAUCACCGAAGCUGUGGAUUGACACCGUAUGGUGUCGAUGGUAGGAGAGCGUUCUAAGGGCGUUGAAGUCAGACCGGAAGGACUGGUGGAGCGCUUAGAAGUGAGAAUGCCGGUAUGAGUAGCGAAAGAAGGGUGAGAAUCCCUUCCACCGAAUGCCUAAGGUUUCCUGAGGAAGGCUCGUCCGCUCAGGGUUAGUCGGGACCUAAGCCGAGGCCGAAAGGCGUAGGCGAUGGACAACAGGUUGAUAUUCCUGUACCACCUAUACAUCGUUUGAACGAUGGGGGGACGCAGAAGGAUAGGGUAAGCGCGCUGUUGGAUAUGCGCGUCCAAGCAGUUAGGCCGGAAACGAGGCAAAUCCCGUUUCCAUUAAGGCGGAGCUGUGAUGGCGAGGGAAAUAUAGUACCGAAGUUCCUGAUUCCACGCUGCCAAGAAAAGCCUCUAGUGAGAUGUAAGGUGCCCGUACCGCAAACCGACACAGGUAGGCGAGGAGAGAAUCCUAAGGUGUGCGAGAGAACUCUCGUUAAGGAACUCGGCAAAAUGACCCCGUAACUUCGGGAGAAGGGGUGCUUUUUAGGGUGAAUAGCCCAGAAAAGCCGCAGUGAAUAGGCCCAGGCGACUGUUUAGCAAAAACACAGGUCUCUGCGAAGCCGCAAGGCGAAGUAUAGGGGCUGACACCUGCCCGGUGCUGGAAGGUUAAGGGGAGAGGUUAGCGCAAGCGAAGCUUUGAACCGAAGCCCCAGUAAACGGCGGCCGUAACUAUAACGGUCCUAAGGUAGCGAAAUUCCUUGUCGGGUAAGUUCCGACCCGCACGAAAGGUGUAACGAUCUGGGCACUGUCUCAACGAGAGACUCGGUGAAAUUAUAGUACCUGUGAAGAUGCAGGUUACCCGCGACAGGACGGAAAGACCCCGUGGAGCUUUACUGCAGCCUGAUAUUGAAUUUUGGUACAGCUUGUACAGGAUAGGUAGGAGCCUGAGAAGCCGGAGCGCCAGCUUCGGUGGAGGCGUUGGUGGGAUACUACCCUGGCUGUAUUGAAAUUCUAACCCGCGCCCCUUAUCGGGGUGGGAGACAGUGUCAGGUGGGCAGUUUGACUGGGGCGGUCGCCUCCUAAAGAGUAACGGAGGCGCCCAAAGGUUCCCUCAGAAUGGUUGGAAAUCAUUCGUAGAGUGUAAAGGCACAAGGGAGCUUGACUGCGAGACCUACAAGUCGAGCAGGGACGAAAGUCGGGCUUAGUGAUCCGGUGGUUCCGCAUGGAAGGGCCAUCGCUCAACGGAUAAAAGCUACCCCGGGGAUAACAGGCUUAUCUCCCCCAAGAGUCCACAUCGACGGGGAGGUUUGGCACCUCGAUGUCGGCUCAUCGCAUCCUGGGGCUGUAGUCGGUCCCAAGGGUUGGGCUGUUCGCCCAUUAAAGCGGUACGCGAGCUGGGUUCAGAACGUCGUGAGACAGUUCGGUCCCUAUCCGUCGCGGGCGCAGGAAAUUUGAGAGGAGCUGUCCUUAGUACGAGAGGACCGGGAUGGACGCACCGCUGGUGUACCAGUUGUCUUGCCAAAGGCAUAGCUGGGUAGCUACGUGCGGACGGGAUAAGUGCUGAAAGCAUCUAAGCAUGAAGCCCCCCUCAAGAUGAGAUUUCCCAUGGCGCAAGCUAGUAAGAUCCCUGAAAGAUGAUCAGGUUGAUAGGUCAGAGGUGGAAGCAUGGUGACAUGUGGAGCUGACUGAUACUAAUAGAUCGAGGACUUAACCAA
RNAcentral lists this ribosomal RNA (1987 nucleotides) under Peribacillus simplex BA2H3. RNAcentral describes it as "bacterial LSU rRNA". It matches the Rfam family "Bacterial large subunit ribosomal RNA", at positions 943 to 2925 of the family's 2925-position model. Lineage: Bacteria; Bacillati; Bacillota; Bacilli; Caryophanales; Bacillaceae. The record is from RNAcentral.